This 253-nucleotide ribosomal RNA is filed under the name uncultured bacterium. Its description in RNAcentral is "partial 16S ribosomal RNA". It matches the Rfam family "Bacterial small subunit ribosomal RNA", at positions 524 to 776 of the family's 1533-position model. The record is from RNAcentral.
UACAGAGGGGGCAAGCGUUGUUCGGAAUUACUGGGCGUAAAGGGCGCGUAGGCGGCCUGCUAAGUCGAACGUGAAAUCCCCGGGCUCAACCCGGGAACUGCGUCCGAUACUGGUUGGCUUGAAUUCGGGAGAGGGAUGUGGAAUUCCAGGUGUAGCGGUGAAAUGCGUAGAUAUCUGGAGGAGCAUCGGUGGCGAAGGCGACAUCCUGGACCGGUAUUGACGCUGAGGCGCGAAAGCCAGGGGAGCAAACGGG